AUACGGAGGAUGCGAGCGUUAUCCGGAUUUAUUGGGUUUAAAGGGAGCGUAGGUGGGAUAUUAAGUCAGCUGUGAAAGUUUGGGGCUCAACCUUAAAAUUGCAGUUGAUACUGGUUUCCUUGAGUACGGUACAGGUGGGCGGAAUUCGUGGUGUAGCGGUGAAAUGCUUAGAUAUCACGAAGAACUCCGAUCGCGAAGGCAGCUCACCGGGCCGGAACUGACACUGAUGCUCGAAAGUGCGGGUAUCAAACAGUAUUAGAUACCCUGGUAGUCCGCACAGUAAACGAUGAAUACUCGCUGUUUGCGAUACACGGUAAGCGGCCAAGCGAAAGCGUUAAGUAUUCCACCUGGGGAGUACGCCGGCAACGGUGAAACUCAAAUGAAUUGGCGGGG
Molecule: ribosomal RNA, 393 nt
Filed under: uncultured bacterium
Lineage: Bacteria
Description: partial 16S ribosomal RNA
Rfam family: Bacterial small subunit ribosomal RNA
Source: RNAcentral